UACGUAGGGUGCGAGCGUUGUCCGGAAUUACUGGGCGUAAAGAGCUUGUAGGUGGUUUGUCGCGUUGUUCGUGAAAUCUCACGGCUCAACUGUGAGCGUGCGGGCGAUACGGGCAGACUAGAGUACUGCAGGGGAGACUGGAAUUCCUGGUGUAGCGGUGGAAUGCGCAGAUAUCAGGAGGAACACCGGUGGCGAAGGCGGGUCUCUGGGCAGUAACUGACGCUGAGGAGCGAAAGCGUGGGGAGCGAACAGG
This 253-nucleotide ribosomal RNA is filed under the name uncultured bacterium. RNAcentral describes it as "partial 16S ribosomal RNA". It matches the Rfam family "Bacterial small subunit ribosomal RNA", at positions 524 to 776 of the family's 1533-position model. The record is from RNAcentral.